CUCAGUUCGGAUUGAAGGCUGAAAUUCGCCUUCAUGAAGCCGGAAUUGCUAGUAAUGGCAGGUCAGCAUACUGCCGUGAAUACGUUCCCGGGCCCUUGUACACACCGCCCGUCACACCAUGAGAGUUGGGAAUACCCGAAGCCUGUGAGCUAACAAAUAGAGGCAGCAGUCGAAGGUAGAAUCAAUGAUUGGGGUGAAGUCGUAACAAGGUAUC
RNAcentral lists this ribosomal RNA (214 nucleotides) under uncultured bacterium. RNAcentral describes it as "partial 16S ribosomal RNA". It matches the Rfam family "Bacterial small subunit ribosomal RNA", at positions 1287 to 1500 of the family's 1533-position model. The record is from RNAcentral.